RNAcentral lists this ribosomal RNA (468 nucleotides) under uncultured bacterium. Its description in RNAcentral is "partial 16S ribosomal RNA". It matches the Rfam family "Bacterial small subunit ribosomal RNA", at positions 28 to 507 of the family's 1533-position model. The record is from RNAcentral.
GACGAACGCUGGCGGCGUGCUUAACACAUGCAAGUCGAACGGAAAGGCCCUGCUUUUGUGGGGUGCUCGAGUGGCGAACGGGUGAGUAACACGUGAGUAACCUGCCCUUGACUUUGGGAUAACUUCAGGAAACUGGGGCUAAUACCGGAUAGGAGCUCCUGCUGCAUGGUGGGGGUUGGAAAGUUUCGGCGGUUGGGGAUGGACUCGCGGCUUAUCAGCUUGUUGGUGGGGUAGUGGCUUACCAAGGCUUUGACGGGUAGCCGGCCUGAGAGGGUGACCGGCCACAUUAGGACUGCGAUACGGACCAGACUCCUACGGGAGGCAGCAGUGGGGAAUAUUGCACAGUGGGCGGAAGCCUGAUGCAGCAACGCCGCGUGCGGGAUGACGGCCUUCGAGUUGUAAACCGCUUUCGCCUGUGACGAAGCGUGAGUGACGGUAAUGGGUAAAGAAGCACCGGCUAACUACGUG